UUAAAUUGAAGAGUUUGAUCAUGGCUCAGAUUGAACGCUGGCGGCAGGCCUAACACAUGCAAGUCGAACGGUAACAGGAAGCAGCUUGCUGCUUUGCUGACGAGUGGCGGACGGGUGAGUAAUGUCUGGGAAACUGCCUGAUGGAGGGGGAUAACUACUGGAAACGGUGGCUAAUACCGCAUAACGUCGCAAGACCAAAGAGGGGGACCUUCGGGCCUCUUGCCAUCAGAUGUGCCCAGAUGGGAUUAGCUUGUUGGUGAGGUAACGGCUCACCAAGGCGACGAUCCCUAGCUGGUCUGAGAGGAUGACCAGCCACACUGGAACUGAGACACGGUCCAGACUCCUACGGGAGGCAGCAGUGGGGAAUAUUGCACAAUGGGCGCAAGCCUGAUGC
RNAcentral lists this ribosomal RNA (394 nucleotides) under Salmonella enterica subsp. enterica serovar Typhimurium. RNAcentral's name for it is "bacterial SSU rRNA". It matches the Rfam family "Bacterial small subunit ribosomal RNA", at positions 1 to 389 of the family's 1533-position model. The record is from RNAcentral. Lineage: Bacteria; Pseudomonadati; Pseudomonadota; Gammaproteobacteria; Enterobacterales; Enterobacteriaceae.